This 279-nucleotide ribosomal RNA is filed under the name uncultured bacterium. RNAcentral's name for it is "partial 16S ribosomal RNA". It matches the Rfam family "Bacterial small subunit ribosomal RNA", at positions 506 to 784 of the family's 1533-position model. The record is from RNAcentral.
UGCCAGCAGCCGCGGUAAGACGAACCGUCCAAACGUUAUUCGGUAUCACUGGGCUUAAAGGGUGCGUAGGCGGCUUAGUAAGUUGGGUGUGAAAGACCUCGGCUCAACCGAGGAAUUGCGCCCAAAACUACUAAGCUUGAGGAAGGCAGAGGUAAGCGGAACUUGCGGUGGAGCGGUGAAAUGCAUUGAUAUCGCGGGGAACACCAGUGGCGAAGGCGGCUUACUGGGCCUUUUCUGACGCUGAGGCACGAAAGCUAGGGUAGCGAACGGGAUUAGAUA